UUCCCUACGGGGGGCAGCAGUGAGGAAUAUUGGUCAAUGGCCGGAAGGCUGAACCAGCCAAGCCGCGUGAAGGACGAAGGUGCCAAGCAUUGUAAACUUCUUUUGUCAAGGGACAAAAUCAGGCUCGAGAGCCUGACCGAGGGUACUUGAAGAAAAAGCAUCGGCUAACUCCGUGCCAGCAGCCGCGGUAAUACGGAGGGUGCAAGCGUUACUCGUAAUCACUGGGCGUAAAGAGCGCGUAGGCGGGAUAGCAAGUCAGAUGUGAAAUCCUAUGGCUUAACCAUAGAACUGCAUUUGAAACUGUU
This 305-nucleotide ribosomal RNA is filed under the name uncultured bacterium. RNAcentral's name for it is "bacterial SSU rRNA". It matches the Rfam family "Bacterial small subunit ribosomal RNA", at positions 335 to 637 of the family's 1533-position model. The record is from RNAcentral.